GACGAACGCUGGCGGCGUGCUUAACACAUGCAAGUCGAACGGAAAGGCCCUGCUUUUGUGGGGUGCUCGAGUGGCGAACGGGUGAGUAACACGUGAGUAACCUGCCCUUGACUUUGGGAUAACUUCAGGAAACUGGGGCUAAUACCGGAUAGGAGCUCCUGCUGCAUGGUGGGGGUUGGAAAGUUUCGGCGGUUGGGGAUGGACUCGCGGCUUAUCAGCUUGUUGGUGGGGUAGUGGCUUACCAAGGCUUUGACGGGUAGCCGGCCUGAGAGGGUGAACGGCCACAUUGGGACUGAGAUACGGCCCAGACUCCUACGGGAGGCAGCAGUGGGAAAUAUUGCACAAUGGGCGGAAGCCUGAUGCAGCAACGCCGCGUGCGGGAUGACGGCCUUCGGGUUGUAAACCGCUUUCGCCUGUGACGAAGCGUGAGUGACGGUAAUGGGUAAAGAAGCACCGGCUAACUACGUG
Molecule: ribosomal RNA, 468 nt
Filed under: uncultured bacterium
Lineage: Bacteria
Description: partial 16S ribosomal RNA
Rfam family: Bacterial small subunit ribosomal RNA
Source: RNAcentral